RNAcentral lists this ribosomal RNA (468 nucleotides) under uncultured bacterium. Its description in RNAcentral is "partial 16S ribosomal RNA". It matches the Rfam family "Bacterial small subunit ribosomal RNA", at positions 28 to 507 of the family's 1533-position model. The record is from RNAcentral.
GACGAACGCUGGCGGCGUGCUUAACACAUGCAAGUCGAACGGACAGGCCCUGCUUUUGUUCGUUGCUCGUUUGGCGCACGCGUGAGUAACACGUGUGUAUCCUCCCCUUGUCUUUCUGGUAACUUCUCGAAACUGCGGCUCAUAUCGCAUAGGAUCUCCUUCUGCAUUUUGUGCAUUGGUAAAUUUCGGUGGUUGGGGAUGGACUCGAGGCUUAUCAGCUUGUUUGUGUGGUAGUUGCUUACCAAGGGUUAGACGGGUAGCCGGCCUGCGAGGGGUACCGGCCACAUGGGGACUGAGAUAGGGCGCAGAAGCCUACGGGAGGCAGCAGGGGGGAAUAUUGCAGAAUGGGCGGAAGCCUGAUGCAGCAACGCCGCGUGCGGGAAGACGGGCUUCGGGUUGUAAACCGAUUUCGAAGGAGACGAAGCGUGAGUGACGGUAAUGGGUAAAGAAGCAACGGCUAACUACGUG